This 72-nucleotide transfer RNA is filed under the name Cephaloscyllium umbratile (blotchy swell shark). RNAcentral describes it as "tRNA-Gln". It matches the Rfam family "tRNA". Rfam says of the family: Transfer RNA (tRNA) molecules are approximately 80 nucleotides in length. Lineage: Eukaryota; Metazoa; Chordata; Chondrichthyes; Carcharhiniformes; Scyliorhinidae. The record is from RNAcentral.
UAGGAAAUGGUAUAAUAGGAAAUACAUAGAGUUUUGAUCUCUAAAAUAUGGGUUCAAGUCCUAUUUUUCUAG